Molecule: signal recognition particle RNA, 263 nt
Filed under: Chloroflexota bacterium
Lineage: Bacteria; Bacillati; Chloroflexota
Also listed under: 1 other name
Description: Chloroflexi bacterium signal recognition particle sRNA large type
Rfam family: Bacterial large signal recognition particle RNA
About the family: The signal recognition particle (SRP) is a universally conserved ribonucleoprotein involved in the co-translational targeting of proteins to membranes. Archaeal SRP consists of a 7S RNA and homologues of the eukaryotic SRP19 and SRP54 proteins.
Source: RNAcentral
CCGUGCUAGACGGGGAGCUAGCGGUGCCCUGUACCCGCAAUCCGCUAUAGCGGGGUUGAAUGCCUCCCCCAGGCAAGGUCAAUGGGCCGAUAUCUCGUGUGAGUGGUAUAGAGGGUUGGGUCCCACGCGGCGUAGACCUGUGAACCCCGCCAGAUCCGGAAGGAAGCAACGGUAAACGGGACCCUACGGGUGCCGUGGGAGCGCCUGAUCCGAGUCACUUUCCGAGACACGCCCAGGGACCGAUGUCGAAGGAAGGUGCGCGG